UGGGGAAUUUUGGACAAUGGGCGAAAGCCUGAUCCAGCAAUGCCGCGUGAGUGAAGAAGGCCUUCGGGUUGUAAAGCUCUUUUGUCAGGGAAGAAACGGUGAGAGCUAAUAUCUCUUGCUAAUGACGGUACCUGAAGAAUAAGCACCGGCUAACUACGUGCCAGCAGCCGCGGUAAUACGUAGGGUGCAAGCGUUAAUCGGAAUUACUGGGCGUAAAGCGUGCGCAGGCGGUUUUGUAAGUCUGAUGUGAAAUCCCCGGGCUCAACCUGGGAAUUGCAUUGGAGACUGCAAGGCUAGAAUCUGGCAGAGGGGGGUAGAAUUCCACGUGUAGCAGUGAAAUGCGUAGAUAUGUGGAGGAACACCGAUGGCGAAGGCAGCCCCCUGGGUCAAGAUUGACGCUGAGGCUCGAAAGCGUGGGGAGCGAACAGGAUUAGAUACCCUAGUAGUCCCUGAGCGGGCUGGCAAGGCGCAU
This 472-nucleotide ribosomal RNA is filed under the name uncultured bacterium. RNAcentral describes it as "bacterial SSU rRNA". It matches the Rfam family "Bacterial small subunit ribosomal RNA", at positions 355 to 825 of the family's 1533-position model. The record is from RNAcentral.